This is a long non-coding RNA of Pseudopipra pipra, 1520 nucleotides long. RefSeq lists it as uncharacterized. The record is from RefSeq and is a predicted model, not a curated record. The transcript has 2 exons. NCBI's taxonomy places the organism in Eukaryota, Metazoa, Chordata, Aves, Passeriformes, Pipridae.
UGGCCCUGGGGGAGACAGGAGGGGAGUCAGUGCCAGCCCAGCUGAGUGCCCAACCCCAGAUAUUCCCUCAUGCUGCCCUAGACUGCCACCAGCAGUUGUGACAUAAGGAGACAUGGAAUUUCGGGUUACUUAUUACCCUGAGAAAGCUGAGGCAAAGGUGACCUUCAGCUGGAGCUGCUUCAGCUCAGGCCCUCCUGACAGUGCUCUGAGACCGUCCCUGCUGUCCCUCUGUGCCAAGAAGGAAAGUUGGGUGUCUUUCCUGGCCUGGGUGGUGCCAGGACCCUGCCCAGUGUCAUCCCUGUGCCCCCCUGGCUGUGGGGACACCAGGACAGGGACUGAGCUGUGGGGCCACAAGAACCGGGGCUGGGAUGGACAGGAAGGGGUUUGUCUCCAGCUCAUGUAUUUACACUGUCAAACUGUCCCUCUUCCUCACAGAGCAGCCUCAAUGUGGAUCUUGUUAAACUAACAACAUCAAGGUUUUUCUACCCAAAAUGUCCUAGAAAUCUGAAGCCCAAACAAAUUCCUUCCCUCCGGCAGCCUCCGUUACUUGUGGGCUGGUUUGUUAUUGCAGAGCUGCCUGACUCUGCCAGCAGAAGUGAUAUUUCAGUGAUUACAGAGUACUGAAGUGAUCUCAGGGUGGAUUUUUAGAAGAAAGGGGCAAAUGAUGUGUUUUGUGACCACAGCAAUGCCUGGCCCUUCUCAGGGAGAUGCAGCCCCAGCCCUUGCAGGGAGCUCCUUCGGGGCAUUCAGUGACCUCACCUUUGGUUUUCUUUAACACUGACCUCCCCAGGAACUACUUCGUACCAAGGGCUUUGGCAAUGCAACAUUUAACUUCUAGAGGACCCUAAACUGCAGAGGAGACAUUAGUUAUCAGAUGUUGGAGGGCUUGAUUCAACAACCUACAAAAAUUAACUCUUGGUGAGGUAUGGUACAACCUGGAGGAAACUACAAACAAACUCUAAGGAGCUCUUGCUGGGAGGAAAGCAGCCCUUCCCAAUGAUCCUACAACAUCUUGCCACUCCAGAAGUUCACUGGAGAACCAGUGCCUGGACACGGAUAACUCCUGGGAUGGUGUUUAAUGUUUACUGACAAAGGUUAUGGACAUGGACUGGUGGCUCAGGGGACCAUGGCCAGAGAGGAGAGCGUCUGAGGAGGCUCAGGGUUGUUUGCUCUCACCAUGUGUGGGCAGUUCCAGGCAUUUAAUGCUGGUGGAGCAUCUUGAGUUAAUCUUCAGACCAACAAACUGCAGCAGCCCGAGCAGAGACACCCCUGCUGUGACUGUCGUGUCACACAUGGCACAAAUCAUUUCGGUUUUGCUGCCUGCAACUUGCAAGUGGCUUUAGCACAGGAGCCUUUCAGUUUGGGUGCUCUGUCCCUGCAAACUGAGAUCCUGAACUUGGUUUUAGCAAGCUCAGCAGGAAAAAGUGGCCACCAUGGGAAAGGGGAACAUUAUAAGAAGCUGAAUGUGAUCUGUGGAAAACGACUGCAUAAUACAUGAUAGCUUUAGGUUGGGCACUUAA